Molecule: ribosomal RNA, 612 nt
Filed under: fungal endophyte
Lineage: Eukaryota; Fungi
Description: eukaryotic LSU rRNA
Rfam family: 5.8S ribosomal RNA (bases 192-345)
Source: RNAcentral
GCGGAGGGAUCAUUAAAGAGUUCUAUAACUCCCAAACCCAUGUGAACAUACCUAACGUUGCCUCGGCAGGUCGCACCUACCUUGUAGCACCCUACCCUGUAGGGCCUACCCGGGAGGUGCGGGUAAGCCUGCCGGCGGCCCACCAAACUCUGUUUGAUAUUGAAUUCUGAACCUAUAACUAAAUAAGUUAAAACUUUCAACAACGGAUCUCUUGGUUCUGGCAUCGAUGAAGAACGCAGCGAAAUGCGAUAAGUAAUGUGAAUUGCAGAAUUCAGUGAAUCAUCGAAUCUUUGAACGCAUAUUGCGCCCAUUAGUAUUCUAGUGGGCAGGACCGUUCGAGCGUCAUUUCAACCCUUAAGCCUUCGUUGCUUAGUGUUGGGAGCCUACGGCAACGUAGCUCCUCAAAGUUAGUGGCGGAGUUGGUUCACACUCUAGACGUAGUAAUUUUUUAUCUCGCCUAUUAGUUGGACUAAUCCCCUGCCGUAAAACCCCUAAUUUAUCAAGGUUGACCUCGAAUCGGUUCAGACAAACUCGCUAAAUUGAAGCAUCUUAGUCAGCGAAGGAAAAGAAACCAACAGGGAUUGCCCUAGUAACGGCGAGUGAAGCGGCAAC